Molecule: ribosomal RNA, 425 nt
Filed under: uncultured eukaryote
Lineage: Eukaryota
Description: bacterial SSU rRNA
Rfam family: Eukaryotic small subunit ribosomal RNA
Source: RNAcentral
CAAUAGCGUAUAUUAAAGUUGUUGCAGUUAAAAAGCUCGUAGUUGGAUUUCUGGUUCGAUGUGCCUGGACCGUAGCGAAAAGCUAUGAGUGCCGGUGCGUGUCAGCCAUCCUUCCAGGGCGGCGUUCGUGUCCUCACGGGUGCGGGCGUCUAUCUGGAUCAGUUACUUUGAAAAAUUAGAGUGUUCAAAGCAGGCCUCGCCAUGGAUACAGCAGCAUGGAAUAACAAGAUAGGACUUUGGUUUUAUUUUGUUGGUUUCUAAAACUGAAGUAAUGAUUGAUAGGGAUAGUUGGGGGUGCUAGUAUUCAGCGGCCAGAGGUGAAAUUCUUGGAUUCGCUGAAGACUAACUUAUGCGAAAGCAUUCACCAAGGAUGUCUUCUUUAAUCAAGAACGAAAGUUGGGGGAUCGAAGACGAUUAGAUACCAU